AUGCAGUCGAGGGGUAACAGAGAGAAGCUUGCUUCUUUGCUGACGACCGGCGCACGGGUGCGUAACGCGUAUACAAUCUACCUUUUGCUGAGGGAUAGCCCAGAGAAAUUUGGAUUAAUACCUCAUAGUAUAUAUGAAUCACAUGGUUUAUAUAUUAAAGGUUACGGCAGAAGAUGAGUAUGCGUUCUAUUAGCUAGAUGGUGUGGUAACGGCACACCAUGGCAACGAUAGAUAGGGGCCCUGAGAGGGGGAUCCCCCACACUGGUACUGAGACACGGACCAGACUCCUACGGGAGGCAGCAGUGAGGAAUAUUGGACAAUGGGCGAGAGCCUGAUCCAGCCAUGCCGCGUGCAGGAAGACUGCCCUAUGGGUUGUAAACUGCUUUUAUACAGGAAGAAACACUCCCUCCGUGAGGGAGCUUGACGGUACUGUAAGAAUAAGGAUCGGCUAACUCCGUG
Molecule: ribosomal RNA, 459 nt
Filed under: uncultured bacterium
Lineage: Bacteria
Description: bacterial SSU rRNA
Rfam family: Bacterial small subunit ribosomal RNA
Source: RNAcentral